AGUGAACGCUGGCGGUAGGCCUAACACAUGCAAGUCGAACGGCAGCACAGGAGAGCUUGCUCUCUGGGUGGCGAGUGGCGGACGGGUGAGGAAUACAUCGGAAUCUACCUUUUCGUGGGGGAUAACGUAGGGAAACUUACGCUAAUACCGCAUACGACCUUCGGGUGAAAGCAGGGGACCUUCGGGCCUUGCGCGGAUAGAUGAGCCGAUGUCGGAUUAGCUAGUUGGCGGGGUAAAGGCCCACCAAGGCGACGAUCCGUAGCUGGUCUGAGAGGGUGAUCAGCCACACUGGAACUGGGACACGGUCCAGAGUCCUACGGGAGGCAGUAGUGGGGAAUAUUGGACAAUGGGCGCAAGCCUGAUCCAGCCAUACCGCGUGGGUGAAGAAGGCCUUCGGGUUGUAAAGCCCUUUUGUUUGGAAAGAAAAGCAGCCAGUUAAUACCUGGUUGUUCUGACGGUACCCAUAGAAUAAGCACCGGCUAACUUCGUGCCAGCCGCCGCGGUAA
RNAcentral lists this ribosomal RNA (506 nucleotides) under uncultured bacterium. RNAcentral describes it as "partial 16S ribosomal RNA". It matches the Rfam family "Bacterial small subunit ribosomal RNA", at positions 29 to 523 of the family's 1533-position model. The record is from RNAcentral.